AACGAACGCUGGCGGCAGGCUUAACACAUGCAAGUCGAACGCCCCGCAAGGGGAGUGGCAGACGGGUGAGUAACGCGUGGGAACGUACCUUUCAGUUCGGAAUAACUCAGGGAAACUUGUGCUAAUACCGGAUACGUCCGUAAGGAGAAAGAUUUAUCGCUGAAAGAUCGGCCCGCGUUGGAUUAGCUAGUUGGUGGGGUAAUGGCCUACCAAGGCGACGAUCCAUAGCUGGUUUGUGAGGAUGAUCAGCCACACUGGGGCUGAGACACGGCCCAGACUCCUCCAUAGGGCAGCAGUGGGGAGUUUUAGGCAAUGGGGGAAACCCUGAUCUAGCCAUGCCGCGUGCUCGUUGGAGGCCUUAAGGUUGUAAAGAUCUUUCAGAUGGGAAGAUAAUGACGGUACCAUCGGAAGAAGCCCCGGCCAACUCCGUGCCAGCAGCCGCCGUAA
This 447-nucleotide ribosomal RNA is filed under the name uncultured bacterium. RNAcentral describes it as "partial 16S ribosomal RNA". It matches the Rfam family "Bacterial small subunit ribosomal RNA", at positions 29 to 523 of the family's 1533-position model. The record is from RNAcentral.